UCUUCCGCCUAAAUUUUUUUCUUGCGUAGUAUUGAUGUUUGAAAAGAUGUCGCUUAGAUAUUUGGAAUAUGAUGUCGUAUAGUUUAUACGCUUUAAAAAUUAACAACUGCGUAACAAAAUACUUUACAUUGUAAGAGUUAUCUCCCCAAACACUGUUUUUCUUGUGACCACUACUCCUUCGCAACCGUAAAAGAUUACGACAAAUUUAUUUUACCAAAUUGCUCGUUACUUCUUCAGGAUUAGGAUAUUCAUUUGGACCGAAGCUAUCCGGAAACUCCAUAUGAGAGUUAUUUCCCCUUAUGCAUUUGAUAUAAGUAAUAUGCAUUUUUAACUGGUAAACAAUCAGUGAUAUAGGC
This 356-nucleotide long non-coding RNA is filed under the name Mytilus galloprovincialis (Mediterranean mussel). The record is from RNAcentral. Lineage: Eukaryota; Metazoa; Mollusca; Bivalvia; Mytilida; Mytilidae.